This 446-nucleotide ribosomal RNA is filed under the name uncultured bacterium. RNAcentral's name for it is "bacterial SSU rRNA". It matches the Rfam family "Bacterial small subunit ribosomal RNA", at positions 329 to 792 of the family's 1533-position model. The record is from RNAcentral.
AACCAGACUCCUACGGGAGGCAGCAGUGGGGAAUAUUGCACAAUGGGGGAAACCCUGAUGCAGCGACGCCGCGUGAGUGAAGAAGUAUUUCGGUAUGUAAAGCUCUAUCAGCAGGGAAGAAGUUGACGGUACCUGAGUAAGAAGCCCCGGCUAACUACGUGCCAGCAGCCGCGGUAAUACGUAGGGGGCAAGCGUUAUCCGGAUUUACUGGGUGUAAAGGGAGCGUAGACGGCAGUGCAAGUCUGAAGUGAAAGCCCCGGGCUUAACCCGGGAAUUGCUUUGGAAACUGUACGGCUGGAGUGCUGGAGAGGUAAGCGGAAUUCCUAGUGUAGCGGUGAAAUGCGUAGAUAUUAGGAGGAACACCAGUGGCGAAGGCGGCUUACUGGACAGUAACUGACGUUGAGGCUCGAAAGCGUGGGGAGCAAACAGGAUUAGAUCCCCCCGUA